Salvia hispanica is the source of this 765-nucleotide non-coding RNA. Lineage: Eukaryota; Viridiplantae; Streptophyta; Magnoliopsida; Lamiales; Lamiaceae. The record is from RefSeq and is a predicted model, not a curated record.
UGCAAUAUUUAUAGUAUAAUAUACAUAUAGUAUAAUGUGAACCGUUGCAGGCGAAAUUUGGUCGUCGCUGGUGUGCAAGUCUACAAUCGCAGGAGUCGGACUCUUUUCAAUUCUGGUGUCGGAUUCUUCUCAAUUCCGGUGUCGGACUGUUUUCAAUUCCCGUUCCUUUGCACUACAUUCGUACGGUCUGUAGGCUGAAGGAUCCUCAGCAGAGUCGAUCACUGCCCUUGCUAAAAUAAAUAUAGUCAAGAGGAGGAUGGAAGCUGCAUAUGAGACAUUGCAGGAUGCUGCUGGAUUAACACAACUAAGCUCAACUGUGGAGGAUGUAUUUGCCAGUGGCGAUCUCCCAUGAGCUGCAAAUACGUUGGCUAACAUGAGACAUUGUCUUGCUGCUGUUGGGGAUGUAUUCUUUUCCUAACCCAUGCAAUUGUUUCGUUUGUUGCUGAGAAUCUGCGAAAGAGCAUCGCUCAUGAAUUUGGGAUGAUUAGGUUGCUGAAUUUACUUGCACAGAUGAAAGGGUAAUUUAGUCAGAUUGGAUUUUGUUUCCUUCACACCCUGCUUGAACCAAACACUAGAUAUAAGCCCAAUCAGUCUACAUGGGCUGAACCAAACAAUGUAUGAGUCUAUCAGCCAAAUUAGGAAAGCCCAUUAUCAAUGGGAUCAUGUUAACAUUAGUGGUGGCUACCAGACGCGCCCUUACACGAUAACGACGCAAGCAUAAGCAUGAUAACAUUCAACCAUUAAUUGAUUUGAAUGAUGAUCUAA